RNAcentral lists this ribosomal RNA (305 nucleotides) under uncultured bacterium. Its description in RNAcentral is "bacterial SSU rRNA". It matches the Rfam family "Bacterial small subunit ribosomal RNA", at positions 335 to 657 of the family's 1533-position model. The record is from RNAcentral.
AGCCUACGGGGCGCAGCAGUCGGGAAUAUUGCGCAAUGGAGGAAACUCUGACGCAGUGACGCCGCGUAUAGGAAGAAGGUUUUCGGAUUGUAAACUAUUGUCAUUAGGGAAGAUAAAAGACUGUACCUAAGGAGGAAGCCCCGGCUAACUAUGUGCCAGCAGCCGCGGUAAUACGUAGGGAGCGAGCGUUGUCCGGAUUUACUGGGUGUAAAGGGUGCGUAGGCGGCUUGGCAAGUCAGUAGUGAAAUCCAUGGGCUUAACCCAUGAACUGCUAUUGAAACUGUCGAGCUUGAGUGAAGUAGAGG